GUGGGGAAUAUUGCACAAUGGGCGGAAGCCUGAUGCAGCGACGCCGCGUGGGGGAUGACGGCCUUCGGGUUGUAAACCUCUUUCAGCAGGGAAGAAGCCUCGUUUUGUGUGCGGGGUGACGGUACGUGCAGAAGAAGCACCGGCUAACUACGUGCCAGCAGCCGCGGUAAUACGUAGGGUGCGAGCGUUGUCCGGAAUUAUUGGGCGUAAAGAGCUCGUAGGCGGCGUGUCGCGUCGGAUGUGAAAGCCCGGGGCUUAACCCCGGGUUGGCAUUCGAUACGGGCAGGCUAGAGUUCGGUAGGGGAGACUGGAAUUCCUGGUGUAGCGGUGAAAUGCGCAGAUAUCAGGAGGAACACCGGUGGCGAAGGCGGGUCUCUGGGCCGAUACUGACGCUGAGGAGCGAAAGCGUGGGGAGCGAACAGGAUUAGAAACCCUAGUAGUCC
RNAcentral lists this ribosomal RNA (443 nucleotides) under uncultured bacterium. Its description in RNAcentral is "bacterial SSU rRNA". It matches the Rfam family "Bacterial small subunit ribosomal RNA", at positions 354 to 796 of the family's 1533-position model. The record is from RNAcentral.